UUUUUCCUUUCGCAUCUGCGUACAGAUGGGCUGCAUCUGUGUUCACACAGCAGAAAAUGGUACUAUAUCGUUCCCUUUAAGAGUGUGGGUUUUCUCUACUUAAUCUCGGACUCUUCAUGGAGACACAGCUGGCAAGAUGCCACGAGACCUCGCAUUUGGUGAGGAGACCGAGGCAAGAGAGGUUAAGUAACUUGCCUAAAGUCACAAAGCUGGAAUCAUUAACCAAUGGCAACAGGAAUCCAAGGAUAAAGUGAUUUCCCUCCUGUUAACUCAUCUGCCUUUGCUGAAGCCAGGAAACCUUGACGCAAAAGUAGAAUAUAUGAAACUACUGCCCAAAAUCCUGGCUCACUCUAUUGAACACAACCAGCACAUUGAGGAGAGCAGGCAGCUGCUGUCCUAUGCUUUGAUACAUCCAGCCACUUCGUUAGAAGACCGUAGUGCUUUAGCCAUGUGGCUGAAUCACUUGGAGGACCGCACAUCGACCAGCUUUGGUGGCCAGAACCGAGGCCGCUCAGACUCUGUGGAUUAUGGACAGACACACUACUAU
RNAcentral lists this small RNA (547 nucleotides) under Pan troglodytes (chimpanzee). RNAcentral describes it as "processed transcript". Lineage: Eukaryota; Metazoa; Chordata; Mammalia; Primates; Hominidae. The record is from RNAcentral.